RNAcentral lists this ribosomal RNA (512 nucleotides) under uncultured archaeon. Its description in RNAcentral is "bacterial SSU rRNA". It matches the Rfam family "Archaeal small subunit ribosomal RNA", at positions 890 to 1398 of the family's 1478-position model. The record is from RNAcentral.
AAAGCCUGCGGUUCCAAUUGGAGUCAACGCCCAGAAAUUUUUACCCGGAGAGACAGCAGAAUGAAGGUCAAGCUGAAGACUUUACCAGACAAGCUGAGAGGUGGUGCAUGGCCGUCGCCAGCUCGUGCCGUGAGAUGUCCUGUUAAGUCAGGUAACGAGCGAGAUCCCUGCCUCUAGUUGCCACCAUUACUCUCAGGAGUAGUGGGGCGAAUUAGCGGGACCGCCGCAGUUAAUGCGGAGGAAGGAAGGGGCCACGGCAGGUCAGUAUGCCCCGAAACUCUGGGGCCACACGCGGGCUGCAAUGGUAGCGACAAUUGGUUUCGAAUCCGAAAGGAUGAGGUAAUCCACAAACGCUACCACAGUUAUGACUGAGGGCUGCAACUCGCCCUCACGAAUAUGGAAUCCCUAGUAACUGCGUGUCAUUAUCGCGCGGUGAAUACGUCCCUGCUCCUUGCACACACCGCCCGUCGUUUCAUUGAAGUGAGCUUUUAGCGAGGUGACGUNUAAUUGGC